RNAcentral lists this transfer RNA (65 nucleotides) under Dipodomys ordii (Ord's kangaroo rat). It matches the Rfam family "tRNA". Rfam says of the family: Transfer RNA (tRNA) molecules are approximately 80 nucleotides in length. Their secondary structure includes four short double-helical elements and three loops (D, anti-codon, and T loops). The record is from Rfam by way of RNAcentral. Lineage: Eukaryota; Metazoa; Chordata; Mammalia; Rodentia; Heteromyidae.
GGUGGCUCAGUGGGAGAGUGUUUGCCUUGCAUGCAUGAGGCCCUGGGUUCGAUUCCUCAGCACCA